UUCAACAUUUACUGCAUUAUCAAAAAUCACUACACAAUCAUCCAACCUGCUUGGAGCUUGUCUGAUUCUCUGAGGUCUCACAGUUGCUUCCACUUCUUCAUGCUCAUCUGCAUCAUUAUUGUUUACUUCUUCAUUAUCUGACUCAUCUGCAUCAUCAUUGUUAACUGAUUCAUCACUUGAAUCAGGAUAAAUGUAGCUUUGUUGACUCUCUUUACUGUAUACUGGUUCC
RNAcentral lists this long non-coding RNA (229 nucleotides) under Lathyrus oleraceus (garden pea). RNAcentral's name for it is "Pisum sativum (pea) long non-coding RNA (PSAT_LNC039580)". The record is from RNAcentral. Lineage: Eukaryota; Viridiplantae; Streptophyta; Magnoliopsida; Fabales; Fabaceae.